UGGGGAAUUUUGGACAAUGGGGGAAACCCUGAUCCAGCCAUCCCGCGUGUGCGAUGAAGGCCUUCGGGUUGUUAAGCACUUUUGGCAGGAAAGAAACGUCAUGGGUUAAUACCCCGUGAAACUGACGGUACCUGCAGAAUAAGCACCGGCUAACUACGUGCCAGCAGCCGCGGUAAUACGUAGGGUGCAAGCGUUAAUCGGAAUUACUGGGCGUAAAGCGUGCGCAGGCGGUUCGGAAAGAAAGAUGUGAAAUCCCAGAGCUCAACUUUGGAACUGCAUUUUUAACUACCGUGCUAGAGUGUGUCAGAGGGAGGUGGAAUUCCGCGUGUAGCAGUGAAAUGCGUAGAUAUGCGGAGGAACACCGAUGGCGAAGGCAGCCUCCUGGGAUAACACUGACGCUCAUGCACGAAAGCGGGGGGAGCAAACAGG
This 429-nucleotide ribosomal RNA is filed under the name Acidobacteriota bacterium. RNAcentral describes it as "Acidobacteria bacterium partial 16S ribosomal RNA". It matches the Rfam family "Bacterial small subunit ribosomal RNA", at positions 355 to 776 of the family's 1533-position model. Lineage: Bacteria; Pseudomonadati; Acidobacteriota. The record is from RNAcentral.